GCCAUACUUUUCGAGUGUCUUCCAGAGUUUUGCAUGGUUUACUCUGUCAAAAGCCUUCUCUUGGUCUUUAACGGACGAUGUUGGACGAUGAUUCUAUAUAGGCCCUACAAUUGCAAUUUUUAAUUGACCGUGCUAUAAUCUUACAGUAGUUCAAUGGUAACAUUCGGCAUUUAUUUGUAAUGUGGUCUUAUGUUGAACUAUAUUUUGGUAUACUCCUUUACACCACAAUUCAUGGCGAUCGCACCGAAUUCCUUCUUAUUCUUAUUCUGUUUUGUGUUUUUUUCAGGGAGUUGAGGGGGGGGGGGGGGGGGGCAUUCAAAUUAAUAGAAAAACGAUGUUCAAGAAAUUUGUAGGUAUACCGAAUUAAUAUUUUGUAAUGAGUUCUCUCAGUAUUCUUUAGGUACUCCAGCAUUGGUGCCAUUAGGAUACAUUACGUAGUAGUGAUUUGUUGCCAAAUUCUUUUCUCUAUAGCUGUUAUUUUUGUUUUGUUUUACCAACAGAUUGGUAAUUCACUAAUCAGCUUGUGUAUUUUCCCAGCUUUGCUAAUCUGUGAAGGCCCAGCUGACAACUGAUAAGUUUGACUCAUGACUGUAAAUCCACAAGACUGAAUGUCAGGUCAACUACAGUGGCCCGUCUAGGUAAAGAAAGCAAAGGUGUCCUAAUAUGGGGUUGCUCACUCUAGUACAAGAUGAGGAACACCUCACUCAUUGGUGAUGGAGAUUCAAAAUCAUUCCCACUUUAUUGGCCCUCAAGCCCUAUGAUUCCAUACUCAUAAAGGAGGUGGCGUGUGUCAACCAAUGUGGCAAAACAGUAAGUCGAAAUUGAUUUUGAUUCUUACGUGUCAUGAGAAAUCAGAGUGAUUUUUUUUACAUAUACCCGAUAUCUCUCUCAGAAAAACGCCUCACUUAUACUUAGGCUAUACUUAUAGAGUGAUUAGUUCAUUGAAAACAAUGUUUUAUUCAAUUUAAGUGAAGAGAAGUAAAAAGCAAACAAUAACUGCUCUUUUAUUGAUACUAAUUUGAUUCAAAUUACAUUCAGAUCACAGAUUAGCCUAGUAUUAGUGUGAGAGAUAAUACCCCCUUCACCUUAUGCUCAUCAACCGUGCUUCAAUUCUUUUGUCAGCAGUUGACACAGGUAAAAGUACCGUUAUUGAAAAUGUAAUAAAAUAGUUUGAUGAUAGAAAAUUGCAUGUUUAGCUUUGUUUUCAUUACUGUUGAACUUUGUAAGCCUGUCACUGGUGAUUUUGUUGGCUUGAAAAAAAUACUUCCAAGAAUGACAAAAUGGUUCUAUAAAUGAAACCAGUUUUGCAUAUCAUAUCAUUUCAGUCUCAGCUCUGUACUUUGCGAAAUCUGGGAGCCAUCGAGGAAAAGAGAGGUGUAACGCUUGGAGAGAAAGCCUUUGGCGCACUGACUCAGGAGAAGAUUGGAUGUCUCCAGUCCUAUUACACAAAACCUCUGGGGUCGUUCACUGCUAAUGUAAGAAGCAGUUGUGGCCACGUUGCUGCACAACACCAGCAUAGGUGGAGACCCACAUCAUGACAGAUGCCCACUUACUGGUGACAACAACUGGUGCUUUUACAUUAUAACACAGACAGGUCAAACACAGAAGACUCAAAAUCACGCAUCAGUAGAACUGUGCCUGCGGUCCCAUUUUUAUUUUUCCUUCUUUAUCUUUAAAAAAUAUCCUUUGAACUACAGAUCCCUCGAACUACGGAUGCCUCGAACUACUGAGGCCAGUUCCAACAAAUUCGAGCUAUCUGUGUUAUACUGUACUUUUACAAAAGGCAUUACAGCCAAGGAAGCACAGCACCAUCACACAAGGGAAGGCUUUCUACCCACCUCAAACCCCUUCACUUAUGAAGCCUGUGCACCACAGAUGAGCUAAUGGAGAUCAAGUAUGUGCCUGGCGUGACACAAAAACAGAAUGGGAGUUUCCAUAUGUUCACCCCUGGUUGAAGCAGUGAGUGCCCUAAGACGGUCUUUGUGACCAAACCAAGAGUAAAAGCUGCUUUUGCUAUCAUUACUGCAGACCGGAAGUUGGGGGCCCUUGGCACCCAGACCUUUAUGCCGUUUCUGAAGUUACAGAUCUCAGCCCAAACCAUGGGGGCAUCAGAAGGGACUGUCCGCAAAUAUAGAGGGCAAAGACUGGAAUUGAGGGUGUGGCUUAGAAAAACAGGAAAGGAACCAUCUUUUAGAGGAGGAAAAUUGGACUGGCAGACGUCUCUACUGCCCAGGAAGAGGGACUGAUUAGGAAUAAAGAAGUCCUUCUGCAA
Molecule: long non-coding RNA, 2272 nt
Organism: Aplysia californica (California sea hare)
Lineage: Eukaryota; Metazoa; Mollusca; Gastropoda; Aplysiida; Aplysiidae
Exons: 2
Source: RefSeq, a predicted model, not a curated record